This 1051-nucleotide long non-coding RNA is filed under the name Zea mays. RNAcentral describes it as "long non-coding RNA (ZMAY_LNC003199)". Lineage: Eukaryota; Viridiplantae; Streptophyta; Magnoliopsida; Poales; Poaceae. The record is from RNAcentral.
UGGGACGAGGCAAAACUUGCAGCAGGUAGACCAUGGGGGUAGCAGCGCCAUGGGAUGUUGUUUAUGAUACGAUGCUCCUCUCAGACGUUUCGUCGAACAGUCAAUGGGCGUUCUGGAGAACAGCGAGGAAGAUGGAAGUGAGGGUGAGGCAGCACAACAAGGAGGUCGAGCGUCUCUAGGAGGGGCACAUUGGACGUGUUGACCACGACGAGCUGGGGCUUGCGUCCAUGCAACAGGAGCAGGUGGAGGUGCAUCCAUGGCAUGGGGAAAAGAGCGCCCACGCUCAGCCAUGGGAGAAGGCGUGGUGUCGGCAUGGGCACUAGGCACCGAGGAGGAUUUCGUGUGCUAGCUGCUAGAAUAGAGAUAGGGGAGGGUGACUGAGUACCCACCAGGGAAGGGACGACCAAGGAACCAGCAGGGAGAGGGCGCUGGCUCAAGCCAUGGAGAAGGGGUUCGGCUGCCCUCCAUGGCUGCCUGGAUCUCAGGCGCGGCAGGGGUUCGCUCCAGGCGCUGAACAUGGGAGGAGUGGAAGGGGGCGUCGGUCUGGGGAGGAUGGCGGCCAGGUGGGGCUGCUCGAUGGAAUCCACGGCAAGGCGGGGGUGGCCGGACUUGAGAAGGGCAGGAAGCCAGAUGGGAGAGGGAGCGUACGUGCAGAAAGCAAACAAGGAGCCCAAGCCAAGGGGACGAGCUCACCUGCUCGAGCUCGGACCCUGAGAAAUGCCCUGCGCGCUGUAUUAGAGAUGGAGAUCUUGGGUUUGGUUCCAUGGCGUCGGUCGACAUUGGAGGAAGGAAGGAGGAACAGAGGUGCUUCUCUGCUCUGCGCACCGUGGCGGCCAUGGGCCAGAGAAGGGCGCCCCGGCAUCCAUCGCUGGAGCAGAGGCACGUAGGAGUCUCAUCCAUGGCUGAAGCGAAGAGCAUCCUAAGCGGUGGUAGAGGAAGGGGAAGACGCCAGGAGGGAGAGCGAUGGUGUGGGAGUGUCGGCAUGGAAAUGGCGUGGUGUGGAAGACGACAGGGGAUCUCGAGAACUAUAGAGGGCGCAGCCUGCCAGGCG